This is a transfer RNA of Cavia porcellus (domestic guinea pig), 64 nucleotides long. It matches the Rfam family "tRNA". From Rfam's summary of the family: Transfer RNA (tRNA) molecules are approximately 80 nucleotides in length. Their secondary structure includes four short double-helical elements and three loops (D, anti-codon, and T loops). The record is from Rfam. Lineage: Eukaryota; Metazoa; Chordata; Mammalia; Rodentia; Caviidae.
AGGGAUUUAGCUCAGCGGCAUAAGCGCCUGCCUUGCAAGCAGGCAGUCGUGAGUUCAAUCCCCA